Molecule: ribosomal RNA, 253 nt
Filed under: uncultured bacterium
Lineage: Bacteria
Description: partial 16S ribosomal RNA
Rfam family: Bacterial small subunit ribosomal RNA
Source: RNAcentral
UACGAAGGGGGCUAGCGUUGCUCGGAAUCACUGGGCGUAAAGCGCACGUAGGCGGCUUUUUAAGUCAGGGGUGAAAUCCUGGAGCUCAACUCCAGAACUGCCUUUGAUACUGAGAAGCUUGAGUCCGGGAGAGGUGAGUGGAACUGCGAGUGUAGAGGUGAAAUUCGUAGAUAUUCGCAAGAACACCAGUGGCGAAGGCGGCUCACUGGCCCGGUACUGACGCUGAGGUGCGAAAGCGUAGGGAGCAAACAGG